RNAcentral lists this ribosomal RNA (506 nucleotides) under uncultured bacterium. RNAcentral describes it as "partial 16S ribosomal RNA". It matches the Rfam family "Bacterial small subunit ribosomal RNA", at positions 29 to 523 of the family's 1533-position model. The record is from RNAcentral.
AGUGAACGCUGGCGGUAGGCCUAACACAUGCAAGUCGAACGGCAGCACAGGAGAGCUUGCUCUCUGGGUGGCGAGUGGCGGACGGGUGAGGAAUACAUCGGAAUCUACUCUGUCGUGGGGGAUAACGUAGGGAAACUUACGCUAAUACCGCAUACGACCUACGGGUGAAAGCAGGGGACCUUCGGGCCUUGCGCGAUUGAAUGAGCCGAUGUCGGAUUAGCUAGUUGGCGGGGUAAAGGCCCACCAAGGCGACGAUCCGUAGCUGGUCUGAGAGGAUGAUCAGCCACACUGGAACUGAGAGACGGUCCAGACUCCUACGGGAGGCAGCAGUGGGGAAUAUUGGACAAUGGGCGCAAGCCUGAUCCAGCCAUACCGCGUGGGUGAAGAAGGCCUUCGGGUUGUAAAGCCCUUUUGUUGGGAAAGAAAUCCAGCUGGCUAAUACCCGGUUGGGAUGACGGUACCCAAUGAAUAAGGACCGGCUAAUUCCGUGCCAGCAGCCGCAGUAA